RNAcentral lists this ribosomal RNA (402 nucleotides) under bacterium. RNAcentral describes it as "partial 16S ribosomal RNA". It matches the Rfam family "Bacterial small subunit ribosomal RNA", at positions 355 to 776 of the family's 1533-position model. The record is from RNAcentral.
UGGGGAAUUUUGCACAAUGGGGGAAACCCUGAUGCAGCGACGCCGCGUGAUUUAGAAGGCCUUCGGGUUGUAAAAAUCUUUUCUAAGGGAAGGAAAUGACAGUACCAUAGGAAUAAGGACCGGCCAAUUAAGUGCCAGCAGCCGCGGUAAUUAGUUAGGUCCGAGCGUUGUCCGGAAUCAUUGGGCGUAAAGGGUACGUAGGCGGGUAAGGAAGUUAGAAGUGAAAUCCUAUAGCUCAACUAUAGUAAGCUUUUAAAACUGCUCAUCUUGAGGUAUGGAAGGGAAAGUGGAAUUCCUAGUGUAGCGGUGAAAUGCGCAGAUAUUAGGAGGAAUACCGGUGGCGAAGGCGACUUUCUGGCCAUAACCUGACGCUGAGGUACGAAAGCGUGGGUAGCAAACAGG